CGGCGGACGGGUGAGUAAUGCCUAGGAAUCUGCCUGGUAGUGGGGGACAACGUUUCGAAGGGAACGCUAAUACCGCAUACGUCCUACGGGAGAAAGCAGGGGACCUUCGGGCCUUGCGCUAUCAGAUGAGCCUAGGUCGGAUUAGCUAGUUGGUGAGGUAAUGGCUCACCAAGGCGACGAUCCGUAACUGGUCUGAGAGGAUGAUCAGUCACACUGGAACUGAGACACGGUCCAGACUCCUACGGGAGGCAGCAGCC
This 257-nucleotide ribosomal RNA is filed under the name uncultured Pseudomonas sp. RNAcentral's name for it is "partial 16S ribosomal RNA". It matches the Rfam family "Bacterial small subunit ribosomal RNA", at positions 96 to 355 of the family's 1533-position model. Lineage: Bacteria; Pseudomonadati; Pseudomonadota; Gammaproteobacteria; Pseudomonadales; Pseudomonadaceae. The record is from RNAcentral.